This 484-nucleotide ribosomal RNA is filed under the name uncultured bacterium. RNAcentral's name for it is "partial 16S ribosomal RNA". It matches the Rfam family "Bacterial small subunit ribosomal RNA", at positions 30 to 507 of the family's 1533-position model. The record is from RNAcentral.
AUUGAACGCUGGCGGCAGGCCUAACACAUGCAAGUCGAGCGGAUGAAGGGAGCUUGCUCCUGGAUUCAGCGGCGGACGGGUGAGUAAUGCCUAGGAAUCUGCCUGGUAGUGGGGGAUAACGUCCGGAAACGGGCGCUAAUACCGCAUACGUCCUGAGGGAGGAAGUGGGGGAUCUUCGGACCUCACGCUAUCAGAUGAGCCUAGGUCGGAUUAGCUAGUUGGUGGGGUAAAGGCCUACCAAGGCGACGAUCCGUAACUGGUCUGAGAGGAUGAUCAGUCACACUGGAACUGAGACACGGUCCAGACUCCUACGGGAGGCAGCAGUGGGGAAUAUUGGACAAUGGGCGAAAGCCUGAUCCAGCCAUGCCGCGUGUGUGAAGAAGGUCUUCGGAUUGUAAAGCACUUUAAGUUGGGAGGAAGUGCAGUAAGUUAAUACCUUGCUGUUUUGACGGUACCAACAGAAUAAGCACCGGCUAACUUCGUG